Molecule: ribosomal RNA, 780 nt
Filed under: uncultured Actinomycetes bacterium
Lineage: Bacteria; Bacillati; Actinomycetota; Actinomycetes
Description: bacterial SSU rRNA
Rfam family: Bacterial small subunit ribosomal RNA
Source: RNAcentral
GUUUCUUCGGAAAUGGAUUAGCGGCGAACGGGUGAGGAACACGUGAGGAAUCUGCCCUCCACUUUGGGAUAACACCGGGAAACCGGUGCUAAUACCGAAUAUUGAAACAUAAGUGGCAUCACUGAGUUUUGAAAGAAUUUCGGUGGAGGAUGACUUCGCGGCCUAUCAGCUAGUUGGUGAGGUAAUGGCUCACCAAGGCAACGACGGGUAGCCGGCCUGAGAGGGCGACCGGCCACACUGGGACUGAGACACGGCCCAGACUCCUACGGGAGGCAGCAGUGGGGAAUAUUGGGCAAUGGAGGAAACUCUGACCCAGCGACGCCGCGUGCGGGAUGAAGGCCUUCGGGUUGUAAACCGCUUUCAGUAGGGAAGAAGCGAAAGUGACGGUACCUACAAAAGAAGCACCGGCUAACUAUGUGCCAGCAGCCGCGGUAAUACAUAGGGUGCAGGCGUUGUCCGGAAUUAUUGGGCGUAAAGAGCUCGUAGGUCGUUUGUUACGUCGGAUGUGAAAACCUGAGGCUCAACCUCAGGCCUGCAUUCGAUACGGGCAAACUAGAGUUUGGUAGGGGAGACUGGAAUUCCUGGUGUAGCGGUGGAAUGCGCAGAUAUCAGGAGGAACACCAAUGGCGAAGGCAGGUCUCUGGGCCAAUACUGACACUGAGGAGCGAAAGUCUGGGGAGCGAACAGGAUUAGAUACCCUGGUAGUCCAGACCGUAAACGGUGGGCACUAGUUGUGGGAACCUUCCACGGUUUCUGCGACGCAGCUAACGCAUUAAGUGC